This 72-nucleotide transfer RNA is filed under the name Ovis aries (sheep). It matches the Rfam family "tRNA". Rfam says of the family: Transfer RNA (tRNA) molecules are approximately 80 nucleotides in length. The record is from Rfam by way of RNAcentral. Lineage: Eukaryota; Metazoa; Chordata; Mammalia; Artiodactyla; Bovidae.
UCCCUUGUAGCUCAGAUUGUAAAGCACCUGGCUGCAAUGCAGGAGACCCAGGUUCAAUCCCUGGGUUGGGAA